RNAcentral lists this ribosomal RNA (2546 nucleotides) under Escherichia coli. RNAcentral's name for it is "partial 23S ribosomal RNA". It matches the Rfam family "Bacterial large subunit ribosomal RNA", at positions 411 to 2925 of the family's 2925-position model. Lineage: Bacteria; Pseudomonadati; Pseudomonadota; Gammaproteobacteria; Enterobacterales; Enterobacteriaceae. The record is from RNAcentral.
AGUAGGGCGGGACACGUGGUAUCCUGUCUGAAUAUGGGGGGACCAUCCUCCAAGGCUAAAUACUCCUGACUGACCGAUAGUGAACCAGUACCGUGAGGGAAAGGCGAAAAGAACCCCGGCGAGGGGAGUGAAAAAGAACCUGAAACCGUGUACGUACAAGCAGUGGGAGCCUCUUAAUGGGGUGACUGCGUACCUUUUGUAUAAUGGGUCAGCGACUUAUAUUCUGUAGCAAGGUUAACCGAAUAGGGGAGCCGAAGGGAAACCGAGUCUUAACUGGGCGUUAAGUUGCAGGGUAUAGACCCGAAACCCGGUGAUCUAGCCAUGGGCAGGUUGAAGGUUGGGUAACACUAACUGGAGGACCGAACCGACUAAUGUUGAAAAAUUAGCGGAUGACUUGUGGCUGGGGGUGAAAGGCCAAUCAAACCGGGAGAUAGCUGGUUCUCCCCGAAAGCUAUUUAGGUAGCGCCUCGUGAAUUCAUCUCCGGGGGUAGAGCACUGUUUCGGCAAGGGGGUCAUCCCGACUUACCAACCCGAUGCAAACUGCGAAUACCGGAGAAUGUUAUCACGGGAGACACACGGCGGGUGCUAACGUCCGUCGUGAAGAGGGAAACAACCCAGACCGCCAGCUAAGGUCCCAAAGUCAUGGUUAAGUGGGAAACGAUGUGGGAAGGCCCAGACAGCCAGGAUGUUGGCUUAGAAGCAGCCAUCAUUUAAAGAAAGCGUAAUAGCUCACUGGUCGAGUCGGCCUGCGCGGAAGAUGUAACGGGGCUAAACCAUGCACCGAAGCUGCGGCAGCGACACUAUGUGUUGUUGGGUAGGGGAGCGUUCUGUAAGCCUGUGAAGGUGUACUGUGAGGUAUGCUGGAGGUAUCAGAAGUGCGAAUGCUGACAUAAGUAACGAUAAAGCGGGUGAAAAGCCCGCUCGCCGGAAGACCAAGGGUUCCUGUCCAACGUUAAUCGGGGCAGGGUGAGUCGACCCCUAAGGCGAGGCCGAAAGGCGUAGUCGAUGGGAAACAGGUUAAUAUUCCUGUACUUGGUGUUACUGCGAAGGGGGGACGGAGAAGGCUAUGUUGGCCGGGCGACGGUUGUCCCGGUUUAAGCGUGUAGGCUGGUUUUCCAGGCAAAUCCGGAAAAUCAAGGCUGAGGCGUGAUGACGAGGCACUACGGUGCUGAAGCGACAAAUGCCCUGCUUCCAGGAAAAGCCUCUAAGCAUCAGGUAACAUCAAAUCGUACCCCAAACCGACACAGGUGGUCAGGUAGAGAAUACCAAGGCGCUUGAGAGAACUCGGGUGAAGGAACUAGGCAAAAUGGUGCCGUAACUUCGGGAGAAGGCACGCUGAUAUGUAGGUGAAGCGACUUGCUCGUGGAGCUGAAAUCAGUCGAAGAUACCAGCUGGCUGCAACUGUUUAUUAAAAACACAGCACUGUGCAAACACGAAAGUGGACGUAUACGGUGUGACGCCUGCCCGGUGCCGGAAGGUUAAUUGAUGGGGUUAGCGGUAACGCGAAGCUCUUGAUCGAAGCCCCGGUAAACGGCGGCCGUAACUAUAACGGUCCUAAGGUAGCGAAAUUCCUUGUCGGGUAAGUUCCGACCUGCACGAAUGGCGUAAUGAUGGCCAGGCUGUCUCCACCCGAGACUCAGUGAAAUUGAACUCGCUGUGAAGAUGCAGUGUACCCGCGGCAAGACGGAAAGACCCCGUGAACCUUUACUAUAGCUUGACACUGAACAUUGAGCCUUGAUGUGUAGGAUAGGUGGGAGGCUUUGAAGUGUGGACGCCAGUCUGCAUGGAGCCGACCUUGAAAUACCACCCUUUAAUGUUUGAUGUUCUAACGUGGGCCCCUUACCGGGGUUGCGGACAGUGUCUGGUGGGUAGUUUGACUGGGGCGGUCUCCUCCUAAAGAGUAACGGAGGAGCACGAAGGUUGGCUAAUCCUGGUCGGACAUCAGGAGGUUAGUGCAAUGGCAUAAGCCAGCUUGACUGCGAGCGUGACGGCGCGAGCAGGUGCGAAAGCAGGUCAUAGUGAUCCGGUGGUUCUGAAUGGAAGGGCCAUCGCUCAACGGAUAAAAGGUACUCCGGGGAUAACAGGCUGAUACCGCCCAAGAGUUCAUAUCGACGGCGGUGUUUGGCACCUCGAUGUCGGCUCAUCACAUCCUGGGGCUGAAGUAGGUCCCAAGGGUAUGGCUGUUCGCCAUUUAAAGUGGUACGCGAGCUGGGUUUAGAACGUCGUGAGACAGUUCGGUCCCUAUCUGCCGUGGGCGCUGGAGAACUGAGGGGGGCUGCUCCUAGUACGAGAGGACCGGAGUGGACGCAUCACUGGUGUUCGGGUUGUCAUGCCAAUGGCACUGCCCGGUAGCUAAAUGCGGAAGAGAUAAGUGCUGAAAGCAUCUAAGCACGAAACUUGCCCCGAGAUGAGUUCUCCCUGACUCCUUGAGAGUCCUGAAGGAACGUUGAAGACGACGACGUUGAUAGGCCGGGUGUGUAAGCGCAGCGAUGCGUUGAGCUAACCGGUACUAAUGAACCGUGAGGCUUAACCUUACAACGCCGAAG